GACGAACGCUGGCGGCGUGCUUAACACAUGCAAGUCGAACGGAAAGGCCCUGCUUUUGUGGGGUGCUCGAGUGGCGAACGGGUGAGUAACACGUGAGUAACCUGCCCUUGACUUUGGGAUAACUUCAGGAAACUGGGGCUAAUACCGGAUAGGAGCUCCUGCUGCAUGGUGGGGGUUGGAAAGUUUCGGCGGUUGGGGAUGGACUCGCGGCUUAUCAGCUUGUUGGUGGGGUAGUGGCUUACCAAGGCUUUGACGGGUAGCCGGCCUGAGAGGGUGACCGGCCACAUUGGGACUGAGAUACGGCCCAGACUCCUACGGGAGGCAGCAGUGGUGAAUAUUGCAAAAUGGGCGGAAGCCUGAUGCAGCAACGCCGCGUGCGGGAUGACGGCCUUCGGGUUGUAAACCGCUUUCGCCUGUGACGAAGCGUGAGUGACGGUAAUGGGUAAAGAAGCACCGGCUAACUACGUG
This 468-nucleotide ribosomal RNA is filed under the name uncultured bacterium. RNAcentral describes it as "partial 16S ribosomal RNA". It matches the Rfam family "Bacterial small subunit ribosomal RNA", at positions 28 to 507 of the family's 1533-position model. The record is from RNAcentral.